This is a long non-coding RNA of Etheostoma spectabile (orangethroat darter), 81 nucleotides long. RefSeq lists it as uncharacterized. The transcript has 3 exons. The record is from RefSeq and is a predicted model, not a curated record. NCBI's taxonomy places the organism in Eukaryota, Metazoa, Chordata, Actinopteri, Perciformes, Percidae.
GACCAAGCGCAUUAAAAGAUGACGCCAAAGGGCUAGAUGCGAGUCCAGAGAGUGUCAAAUAGUGACGCCAAUGGUCCUGAU